This 253-nucleotide ribosomal RNA is filed under the name uncultured bacterium. Its description in RNAcentral is "partial 16S ribosomal RNA". It matches the Rfam family "Bacterial small subunit ribosomal RNA", at positions 524 to 776 of the family's 1533-position model. The record is from RNAcentral.
UACGUAGGUGGCAAGCGUUGUUCGGAAUUAUUGGGCGUAAAGGGCGCGUAGGCGGCUCGUUAAGUCGGUUGUGAAAGCCCGGGGCUCAACCCCGGAGGGUCGACCGAUACUGGCAAGCUAGAGUACAGAAGAGGUAGCUGGAAUUCCCGGUGUAGCGGUGAAAUGCGUAGAUAUCAGGAGGAACACCGGUGGCGAAGGCGGCCCUCUGGACGGUGACUGACGCUGAGACGCGAAAGCGUGGGGAGCAAACAGG